CCUACGGGUGGCAGCAGUCGAGAAUCUUUCACAAUGGGGGAAACCCUGAUGGUGCGACGCCGCGUGGGGGAAUGAAGGUCUUCGGAUUGUAAACCCCUGUCAUGUGGGAGCAAAUUAAAAAGUUAGUACCACAAGAGGAAGAUACGGCUAAAUCUGUGUCAGCAGCCGCGGGAAUACAGAGGUCUCAAGCGUGGUUCGGAAGCACUGGGCGUAAAGCGGGCGUAGGCGGUUUCGUAAGUCGGGUGUGAAAGGCGAGGGCUCAACCCGAGGACGGCACAUGAUACUGCGAGACUAGAGUAAUGGAGGGGGAACCGGAAUUCUUGGUGUAGGAGUGAAAUGCGUAGAUAUCGAGAGGAACACUCGUGGCGAAGGCGGGUUGCUGGACAUUAACUGACGCUGAGGCACGAAGGCGAGGGGAGCGAAAGGGAUUAGAUACCCCAGUAGUC
RNAcentral lists this ribosomal RNA (446 nucleotides) under uncultured bacterium. Its description in RNAcentral is "partial 16S ribosomal RNA". It matches the Rfam family "Bacterial small subunit ribosomal RNA", at positions 338 to 795 of the family's 1533-position model. The record is from RNAcentral.